This 253-nucleotide ribosomal RNA is filed under the name uncultured bacterium. Its description in RNAcentral is "partial 16S ribosomal RNA". It matches the Rfam family "Bacterial small subunit ribosomal RNA", at positions 524 to 776 of the family's 1533-position model. The record is from RNAcentral.
UACAGAGGUCUCAAGCGUUGUUCGGAUUCAUUGGGCGUAAAGGGUGCGUAGGCGGCGCGGUAAGUCGGAUGUGAAAUCUCGGAGCUUAACUUCGAAACUGCAUUCGAUACUGCCGUGCUUGAGGACUGGAGAGGAGACUGGAAUUUACGGUGUAGCGGUGAAAUGCGUAGAUAUCGUAAGGAAGACCAGUGGCGAAGGCGGGUCUCUGGACAGUUCCUGACGCUGAGGCACGAAGGUCAGGAGAGCAAACGGG